RNAcentral lists this ribosomal RNA (1924 nucleotides) under Athelopsis lunata. RNAcentral's name for it is "eukaryotic LSU rRNA". The stretch from base 595 to 1924 matches the Rfam family "Eukaryotic large subunit ribosomal RNA", at positions 1 to 1339 of the family's 3401-position model. Lineage: Eukaryota; Fungi; Basidiomycota; Agaricomycetes; Atheliales; Atheliaceae. The record is from RNAcentral.
GAGUUUUGNGGGGUUGCAGCUGGNUCUCCGGGGACAAUGUGCUCGCCCUGCUCAAUCCAUUCAACACCUGUGCACUUUGUGAGGUUUGGUGUGUGUCCCCUCCAGCGAAUGGAGCCGCUCCUUCGAGGUCCACUCGAAGUCGAGCCGGGGGAAACCUUCCGAUCCUCUCGUUUCACAAACCCUUGAUAAAGUCUUGUCGAAUGUUAAAUGCAAUGUAAAUACAACUUUCAACAACGGAUCUCUUGGCUCUCGCAUCGAUGAAGAACGCAGCGAAAUGCGAUAAGUAAUGUGAAUUGCAGAAUUCAGUGAAUCAUCGAAUCUUUGAACGCAUCUUGCGCUCCUUGGUAUUCCGAGGAGCAUGCCUGUUUUGAGUGUCGUGAAAUCUUCAACCUCGUUUCGCUUUGUGUGGAGUGAGGCUUGGAUUGUGGGGGCUGCCGGGUCUUGACUCGGCUCCUCUGGAAAGCAUCAGCGCGGUGUUUCCGACGCGACUCGUGGUGUUGUAGGCACAAACUUGCACCUUCGACGUGGUCGUGGCGGGGCCGGGCUUCCAAUCUGGAUUUUGUCCUUAGCCGGAUGAAUCCGUUCUUUUCAAUCUGACCUCAAAUCAGGUAGGACUACCCGCUGACUUAAGCAUAUCHAUAAGCGGACAAGGAUUCCCUAGUAACUGCGAGUGAAGCGGGAAGAGCUCAAAUUUAAAAUCUGGCGGCUUCGUCGUCCGAGUUGUAAUCUGGAGAAGCGUUUUCCGCAUUGGACCGUGUACAAGUCUCUUGGAACAGAGCGUCAUAGAGGGUGAGAAUCCCGUCUCUGACACGGACCGCCAAUGCUUUGUGAUACGCUCUCGAAGAGUCGAGUUGUUUGGGAAUGCAGCUCAAAAUGGGUGGUAAAUUCCAUCUAAAGCUAAAUAUUGGCGAGAGACCGAUAGCGAACAAGUACCGUGAGGGAAAGAUGAAAAGCACUUUGGAAAGAGAGUUAAACAGUACGUGAAAUUGUUGAAAGGGAAACGCUUGAAGUCAGUCGCGUCGAGUGAGACUCAGCUUGGCUUCUGCCGGGUGUACUUCUCGUUCGACGGGCCAACAUCGAUUUGGGUCGACGGACAAAGAUGUGGGGAAUGUGGCACCUCCGGGUGUGUUAUAGCCCCGCGUCGCAUAUGUUGAUCGGGAUCGAGGACCGCAGCACGCCUUUAUGGCCGGGGUUCGCCCACGUAACGUGCUUAGGAUGUUGGCGUAAUGGCUUUAAACGACCCGUCUUGAAACACGGACCAAGGAGUCUAACAUGCCCGCGAGUGUUAGGGUGGAAAACCCUUGCGCGUAAUGAAAGUGAAAGUUGGGACCCUCGUCGUGGGGGGCACCGACGCCCGGUCUUGAACUUCUGUGACGGUACCGCGGUAGAGCGUGUAUGUUGGGACCCGAAAGAUGGUGAACUAUGCCUGAAUAGGGUGAAGCCAGAGGAAACUCUGGUGGAGGCUCGUAGCGAUUCUGACGUGCAAAUCGAUCGUCAAAUUUGGGUAUAGGGGCGAAAGACUAAUCGAACCAUCUAGUAGCUGGUUCCUGCCGAAGUUUCCCUCAGGAUAGCAGAAACUCGUAUCAGAUUUAUGUGGUAAAGCGAAUGAUUAGAGGCCUUGGGGUUGAAACAACCUUAACCUAUUCUCAAACUUUAAAUAUGUAAGAACAAGCCGUCUCUUAGUUGGACCGCUUGGCGAUUGAGAGUUUCUAGUGGGCCAYUUUUGGUAAGCAGAACUGGCGAUGCGGGAUGAACCGAACGCGAGGUUAAGGUGCCGGAAUGCACGCUCAUCAGACACCACAAAAGGUGUUAGUUCAUCUAGACAGCAGGACGGUGGCCAUGGAAGUCGGAACCCSCUAAGGAGUGUGUAACAACUCACCUGCCGRAUGAACUAGCCCUGAAAAUGGAUGGCSGUCCACGUGCU